AGUGAACGCUGGCGGUAGGCCUAACACAUGCAAGUCGAACGGCAGCACAGUAAGAGCUUGCUCUUACGGGUGGCGAGUGGCGGACGGGUGAGGAAUACAUCGGAAUCUACUUUUUCGUGGGGGAUAACGUAGGGAAACUUACGCUAAUACCGCAUACGACCUACGGGUGAAAGCAAGGGAUCUUCGGACCUUGCGCGAUUGAAUGAGCCGAUGUCGGAUUAGCUAGUUGGCGGGGUAAAGGCCCACCAAGGCGACGAUCCGUAGCUGGUCUGAGAGGAUGAUCAGCCACACUGGAACUGAGACACGGUCCAGACUCCUACGGGAGGCAGCAGUGGGGAAUAUUGGACAAUGGGCGCAAGCCUGAUCCAGCCAUACCGCGUGGGUGAAGAAGGCCUUCGGGUUGUAAAGCCCUUUUGUCGGGAAAGAAAAGCAGCAGGUUAAUACCCCGCUGUUCUGACGGUACCCAAAGAAUAAGCACCGGCUAACUUCGUG
This 492-nucleotide ribosomal RNA is filed under the name uncultured bacterium. RNAcentral's name for it is "partial 16S ribosomal RNA". It matches the Rfam family "Bacterial small subunit ribosomal RNA", at positions 29 to 507 of the family's 1533-position model. The record is from RNAcentral.